This 87-nucleotide unclassified non-coding RNA is filed under the name Pseudomonas extremaustralis. The record is from RNAcentral. Lineage: Bacteria; Pseudomonadati; Pseudomonadota; Gammaproteobacteria; Pseudomonadales; Pseudomonadaceae.
UGUGGGAGCGGGCUUGCUCGCGAUGCAGGCGCUGCGGUCUGUCCAGCGGACUGCGGUGAUGCUAUCGCGAGCAAGCCCGCUCCCACA